This 162-nucleotide ribosomal RNA is filed under the name uncultured bacterium. RNAcentral's name for it is "partial 16S ribosomal RNA". It matches the Rfam family "Bacterial small subunit ribosomal RNA", at positions 190 to 354 of the family's 1533-position model. The record is from RNAcentral.
UGAAGCGGUGUGAAAAACUCUGGUGGUAUACGAUGGUUCCGCGUCUGAUUAGCUAGUUGGUGGGGUAAUGGCCUACCAAGGCAACGAUCAGUAGCCGGCCUGAGAGGGUGAACGGCCACAUUGGGACUGAGACACGGCCCAAACUCCUACGGGAGGCAGCAG